This 301-nucleotide ribosomal RNA is filed under the name uncultured bacterium. RNAcentral describes it as "partial 16S ribosomal RNA". It matches the Rfam family "Bacterial small subunit ribosomal RNA", at positions 509 to 807 of the family's 1533-position model. The record is from RNAcentral.
CAGUCGCCGCGGUAAUACGUAGGGUGCGAGCGUUAAUCGGAAUUACUGGGCGUAAAGCGUGCGCAGGCGGUUUUGUAAGACAGGCGUGAAAUCCUCGGGCUCAACCUGGGAAUGGCGCUUGUGACUGCAAAGCUAGAGUGCGGCAGAGGGGGAUGGAAUUCCGCGUGUAGCAGUGAAAUGCGUAGAUAUGCGGAGGAACACCGAUGGCGAAGGCAAUCCCCUGGGCCAAUACUGACGCUCAUGCACGAAAGCGUGGGGAGCAAACAGGAUUAGAUACCCCCGUAGUCCCUGUCUCUUAUAC